Salmo salar (Atlantic salmon) is the source of this 857-nucleotide non-coding RNA. The record is from RefSeq and is a predicted model, not a curated record. Lineage: Eukaryota; Metazoa; Chordata; Actinopteri; Salmoniformes; Salmonidae.
AUUGUGCGCCGCCCUAUGGGACUCCCGGUCACGGCCGGUGAUAAAGUGUUCCACCCAUUGUUCUUCAGCCAGUACAAUCCAUCUCUUAUCUACAAUAAUCACAGCCCCUCUCUUCUAUUCAACAACAACUGGUGAUAAGGAAGGAUGCUGGAUUCUGGAGAGAUCUUGGGUUUGGAAAGUAUAGGUCUGAUUUCAUCAACAUAGGUGGGUUUGACCGGAACACCAAAGGCUGAGGUUUGGAGGAUGUUCACCUGUACAGAAAGUACCUGCACAGCAAGCUGAUGGUGAUUCGCUCUCCCUCCCGAGGCCUCUUCCACUUGUGGUAUGAGAAGCAGUGUGCAGACGAGCUGCCGCCAGACAAGUAUAAGAUGUGUAUGCAGACCAAGGCAAUGAGCGAGGUCUCUCACAGCCACCUGGGGAGCUGUUCUUCACACAGGAGAUCCAGGGGCAUCUGGAGAGGUAAAAACUAGAAACUGCCCCACAACCACAUAUCUAAGAUCAGACUUCCCUACCGCUUAUCCUAACCUUAACCAUUAGGGGGUUACACAAUAUCUGACCCUGGACCAGUGGUUAGGGUAAUGAAAUCAAAACACCUGGAGAGGAGAGACAUCGUCUGGGUUAUGUUGAGAGAACAAUGUCUUUCUCCUUCUACAGACUAAACACAGGGCCUGACGAGGGAGAGUAUAGGGAUGAGACAUGAACUUUGUCAUGACAUGACAGAAACUUGAUUGAAAUUUUUCAAAAUGGUGAUGUUAUGUAGCCAUACUAACUCAUUGUAUGUCCGCUAUUGCCAUCUUCCUUCCUGUACUGAGUCUGAAAGCAGGGAGGUCCGAAUAAUAUUUUACUGUCUUUGUUGU